Molecule: small RNA, 561 nt
Filed under: Histoplasma ohiense
Lineage: Eukaryota; Fungi; Ascomycota; Eurotiomycetes; Onygenales; Ajellomycetaceae
Description: hypothetical lncRNA
Source: RNAcentral
CCACUAUAUCAUUGGAAGAGAAUUCUGCCACAAUAGAAUUCUUAUCAACAAUUUCUUUUUCUUUUCCAUGCUUAACCAUCAUCAAUUUCUUUACAGUUUCUCCUUGCAAUUGACCACGGUGAUAGUGACAAAUAUCUCGACUUGAGUUAAACUUUCUCUCCAUACCAACUCCUGCCAAUGGAAUUGCCAGAAUAUCGCGUGCCAUCAUUGCCACUGUUGGGUACUGACUGCUGAUCAUCCUCCACAGAUCUAAAAUAGAUUUUCCUUUGAUAUUAACAGAAUCAUCAUAUAGAUAGCAGUCAAAUUCAGUGUUGCAAGAAUUUUGUUUGCUCAGAUUUUCAGCAGCAAUCAAUGAGUGCAAAUCCUUAAUCAAUAUUAGUAACAGAUUAAUAUCAAUAUCUCAGUGAGUAUUAUAAAAAAAAAGUUACUAACCAAAGAAUCAUGCUCUAUUGGCUCUUCAAUUUGGGUAUUAUCCUGUUCAUAUUGUCGAUAGUUGUUGUUGUAGUAUGUCCGAGCUAUAUCAACAUAGAUUUGUCGUUCUUCCGCCGUCCAAUCCCCGGG